ACUUUCAACAACGGAUCUCUUGGCUCUCGCAUCCAUGAAAAACCCUUCUUGUCCCCCAUAAGUAGUGUCAAUUGCAUAAUUUUGUGAAUCACCGAAAUCUUUGAACCCCAAAUUGCACUCCCCGGUUAUUCCCGGGGGAAGUAUGCCUGUUUGAGGGUCGUU
RNAcentral lists this ribosomal RNA (162 nucleotides) under Funneliformis mosseae. RNAcentral's name for it is "5.8S ribosomal RNA". It matches the Rfam family "5.8S ribosomal RNA". Rfam says of the family: 5.8S ribosomal RNA (5.8S rRNA) is a component of the large subunit of the eukaryotic ribosome. The record is from RNAcentral. Lineage: Eukaryota; Fungi; Glomeromycota; Glomeromycetes; Glomerales; Glomeraceae.